This 470-nucleotide ribosomal RNA is filed under the name uncultured bacterium. RNAcentral describes it as "bacterial SSU rRNA". It matches the Rfam family "Bacterial small subunit ribosomal RNA", at positions 335 to 798 of the family's 1533-position model. The record is from RNAcentral.
ACUCCUCGGGAGGCAGCAGUGGGGAAUAUUGCACAAUGGGCGCAAGCCUGAUGCAGCCAUGCCGCGUGUAUGAAGAAGGCCUUCGGGUUGUAAAGUACUUUCAGCAGUGAGGAAGGUGGGUAUGUUAAUAGCAUACUCAUUUGACGUUAGCUGCAGAAGAAGCACCGGCUAACUCCGUGCCAGCAGCCGCGGUAAUACGGAGGGUGCGAGCGUUAAUCGGAAUUACUGGGCGUAAAGCGCAUGCAGGUGGUUUGUUAAGUCAGAUGUGAAAGCCCGGGGCUCAACCUCGGAAUUGCAUUUGAAACUGGCAAACUAGAGUACUGUAGAGGGGGGUAGAAUUUCAGGUGUAGCGGUGAAAUGCGUAGAGAUCUGAAGGAAUACCGGUGGCGAAGGCGGCCCCCUGGACAGAUACUGACACUCAGAUGCGAAAGCGUGGGGAGCAAACAGGAUUAGAUACCCUGGUAGGCUCU